UAAAAAUCACCCGUUUGUGGAUUUUGGAUAUUUUCUGUUUGGAAUUUAGAAAAACUCAAAGCUACAAAGUUGUAGAGAAUUCGAUUUCAGGCAGAAUGGACAUAAAAUUCAUAUUUUUCUGAUAAAUGGACUAUUUUCUAUGAAUUAUUGAAGUUUCAAAAAAUAAAAUAAUUUUUAUUAAAUUUAUGGGUGGGACCCACUUUUGGUUUUUCA
This 213-nucleotide long non-coding RNA is filed under the name Panax ginseng (ginseng). RNAcentral describes it as "long non-coding RNA (PGIN_LNC012152)". Lineage: Eukaryota; Viridiplantae; Streptophyta; Magnoliopsida; Apiales; Araliaceae. The record is from RNAcentral.